GGGACCUGGAGGCCACGGGUAGGAGUGGGGUCUGGAGGCUCCCUUGACUGUUCCUCUUGUGCCCGACUUUGGGCCCUGGAGGAGCAGGUGAGGGAGCUCCAGGCCGAGGUGAGCAGCCUAACGGGAAUCAGGGCUGCGGAGGAUGAGAUUGACACACAUUUCCAUUCUUUGCAGGAUCACUCUUCCAACCAACAAACCUCCUGCAAGAGAGACACAGCCAAAGAAUAGAAGGUGACCACCAGAACCAGGGCUCCUCAGGCUAGCAUGGAGGCAGCUCCCCAGGUACAAAUGGGGAACAUAUUCAAGGCCCUGGCAGCCUUGGAGGAGAAGGUAGAAGGAGAUGCCUCCAGAGUGGAUGGUGCCACUCUACAUGUGGCACAGUGUGAACAGGGGCGCAAGAGAAAGAAAUGCUGAGUACUUGUCAUCGGAGACUCCAUCCUGAGGGGAAUGGAGGGCCCCAUCUGCUGAUCUGACCCCAUGGAGUGUGAGGUCUGCUGUCUACCUGGGGCUUGGAUCCAGGACAUUACAGGCAUGAUCCCAAAACUCAUUUGACCUUCAGACCAGUACCCCAUGGUCCUAACCCAUGUGGGAAUGAAUGACGUAGCGGGGAGCACUCCAGAUCACAUCAUGAAGGACUACGAGGCCCUGGGAACCAAGCUCAAGGAGACGGGGGCAUAGGUGGUAUUCUCCUCCAUUCUCCUGGUAAGUAGACGCAGUCAGCGCCAUGAGGCCUGCUUCGGAGUGGUCAACUGGUGGCUUUGGAGUUGGUGCCACCAGGCAGGUCUCGGGUUCCUUGACAAUGCCCCACUUUUUCACAAAGGGGGCGUGCUCGGGUGGGAUGGGUUUCACCUCUCCCCUAAAGGCAAGCAUCUCUUAUCUUCCAGAUUGGCUGAUCUCAUAUGGUGUGCUUUAAACUAGCUUUGCUGGGGGAUGGGGCCACAGCAGGAAAUGACGAUGCUUCCCAGCCAUGACAGGUGACAAGCACAAAAAGUACCCAGGGACCUGGACAUCCCCCGCACCCGGAAUCCCGGACGAACUCAGGAGAGGCACAGCCAGGUCCAGGGUCAGAGAGGACCUGGUCAGGGAGCUUCUGGUGGAACUGGACAUCUUCAAAUCAGCAGGUGCAGUGAAUGCUCCUGGCACCAGCUGAUGAUAUCAUCAUUUUCUGCUGCCUCACCAUCAGUAUGAACCUGUUUAGGUAUAAGAUGUCAUCUGUCUCUCUCUGCAAAAAACUCUCAACAUCAUCAGGAAGAUCAUGUAUCAGGAAGGAGGCCAAAGAAAGAUGACAAUAACAUGCUUUCCAAGAAAUGCAGACUGGAAUCUCUUCUAUUUGAGACUUAAAUUUGAGUACU
Alligator mississippiensis (American alligator) is the source of this 1352-nucleotide long non-coding RNA. RefSeq lists it as uncharacterized. Lineage: Eukaryota; Metazoa; Chordata; Crocodylia; Alligatoridae. The transcript is spliced from 4 exons. The record is from RefSeq and is a predicted model, not a curated record.